GACGAACGCUGGCGGCGUGCUUAACACAUGCAAGUCGAACGAAGAGCGAUGGAAGCUUGCUUCUAUCAAUCUUAGUGGCGAACGGGUGAGUAACGCGUAAUCAACCUGCCCUUCAGAGGGGGACAACAGUUGGAAACGACUGCUAAUACCGCAUACGAUCUAAACUCGGCAUCGAGGAUAGAUGAAAGGUGGCCUCUACAUGUAAGCUAUCACUGAAGGAGGGGAUUGCGUCUGAUUAGCUAGUUGGAGGGGUAACGGCCCACCAAGGCGAUGAUCAGCAGCCGGUCUGAGAGGAUGAACGGCCACAUUGGGACUGAGACACGGCCCAGACUCCUACGGGAGGCAGCAGUGGGGAAUCUUCCGCAAUGGACGAAAGUCUGACGGAGCAACGCCGCGUGAGUGAUGACGGCCUUCGGGUUGUAAAGCUCUGUUAAUCGGGACGAAAGGCCUUCUUGCGAAUAGUGAGAAGGAUUGACGGUACCGGAAUAGAAAGCCACGGCUAACUACGUG
Molecule: ribosomal RNA, 510 nt
Filed under: uncultured bacterium
Lineage: Bacteria
Description: partial 16S ribosomal RNA
Rfam family: Bacterial small subunit ribosomal RNA
Source: RNAcentral